UAUAAUACUAGACUUUUUUAAUAGUUUGAUUUGUUGUUAGAUAAAAUUUCUGGGUCUGCGGUGGUUUGUCUUUUAACUUAAAGUUUUAUUUAAGCUUAGGAUUUUAGUUUAUUUUUUUUUUACAUGUAAAUUUUUAUGUUUAAACAACUAUUUAUGCAGUAUUUAAUUUUAUAUAUUAAUUUACUUUGGAUUUAGGAAUUGAUAAGAGUUUUAAUAAAUUUUGUGCCAGCAAUUGCGGUUAUACAAAUGAUGCAAUUAAUAUUUUUUGGUUAGUAAUUAAAUGUUUAAUUUUAGAUAUAAAUUUAUUAUUAGAUUUUUUGGGUGAAAUUUUAAAUUUGAUAUAAGUUUGUUUAUAUUUUUUGAGGUUAUUAAAAUUUUUUUUAAACUAGGAUUAGAUACCCUAUUAUUUAAAUUGUAAAUAUAUUAUACCUGAUUAUUAAUAGAAUAUGUACUUGAAAAUUAAAGAUUUUGGCGGUAUUUUAGUCCAUUCAGAGGAACCUGUCCUGUAAUCGAUAGUCCACGAUUUACUUUACUUUUUCUUUUGGUUUGUAUAUCGUCGUGGUACGAGUGUUUCAGAAGAAUUUACAAUACUCAAUAAGUAUAAUUAUAUAUGAUUUCAGAUCAAGGUGCAGCUUAUGGGAAAGAAGAGAUGGGUUACAAUAAAUUUAUUUUUGGUUUACUUUUUGAAUAAAAAUAUAUUUGGUAAUAAAUUGGAUUUGAGUGUAAUAAUUUUUAGAUUAUAGUUGUGAUUUGUGGCUCUAGAAUAUGCACAUAUUGCCCGUCGCUCUCAUUUAAUAUGAGAUAAGUCGUAACAUAGUAGGUGUACUGGAAAGUGUAUCUAGAAAGAU
Molecule: non-coding RNA, 848 nt
Filed under: Agriotes sp. GTI-28
Lineage: Eukaryota; Metazoa; Arthropoda; Insecta; Coleoptera; Elateridae
Source: RNAcentral